This 73-nucleotide transfer RNA is filed under the name Cordylochernes scorpioides. Its description in RNAcentral is "tRNA-Thr". The record is from RNAcentral. Lineage: Eukaryota; Metazoa; Arthropoda; Arachnida; Pseudoscorpiones; Chernetidae.
GUCCAGCGGCGGGAAUCGAACCCACAACGUUCCGCUUACCGGGCAGAUGCCAUGUCCACUAGGCUACCCUGGA